Molecule: non-coding RNA, 3753 nt
Organism: Anas platyrhynchos (mallard)
Lineage: Eukaryota; Metazoa; Chordata; Aves; Anseriformes; Anatidae
Source: RefSeq, a predicted model, not a curated record
GGGUAGGGGGAAGAUGCCUUAAAAAUAUAGGCUUUGAUUGCACUAAUUAUCAGUGGGAAGGGUGAUUGAUGCUCCUGUGCUGGCUUUGAUGCCUUACUAACUCGGGUUUGAUCUGCUUGGUGUGCCCUCUGUCCAGGUGCUGCUACGUGUGCCACUCCUGCUUGGCCUCUGCCUCCCUUUGACCCUUGUCCCUCAAGGAGCAGGAGGUGACGUUUCUGCUGCCUUGGUUCAAAGUUUGGUUUCUGGUGGCAUGCGGGUGUUCUUGCCCUGGAUUGUUGUUUUCCCUUCUCCACGUGCAGACACGUGCACUUCACGCAGAUCGUUUUCCUGAGGUGUCAGAAGGAAAUAAUUUUCUUCUCUCUUUUGAAGUGGCAGUGACCAAGUGUCUGCUGGUUGCCUUUUGGCGAAGUGAUGCCCAGCCACAGACAUGCUCUGACAGCAUUACCGUUCUACUGUUACCCACAUCUUUCUGUCAGCUUUGCCCAUAUCUUUAGCAGGGAAGUUGUUCCUGAUAUUUGUGAACAAUUAUUGUUAUGUCUUUGGGGGAGAUUUUUUUUGAUUGGAUUCCAGUUAAGCUACAGAGCAGUGGUGGUUGAUUUGCCAGCAGGUCUGAUGGGUCUGUGGACUAUUCUAAUAACUUUGGAGAAGUAAACUAGUCAAAAAAAGACCAACUUCCAUAAGCCAGGCUUUUCUGGACUAGAACAUGUAUUUCCCUUAUGUAUUUUUAGAAGCUCUGAGAGUUGGAAGCAGUUGUGCUGAGCAUGACAGAUACUACCACUGGUUGGUAAACCCCAUGGAAAAGUUCACUGUCUGCACAAACAACUUAAUGUCAACUCCAUGGCGCUGCGCGAAAUCACAGGAAGAGUGGCUGUGCGUGUGCAGGGCUGAAUGCUUCAGUUCUCACCGGGAAACCCAAGGAAUGAAAACAUCUCCAGAAAAUGAGAAUGUUGCACAAUUGGAAAAUAACUAAAACCCACCCCGACGCUUAUUUUUGUGGGGGACUGUAAAGGUUUCCAAGAGUGUAUCUGUAUUUUCAUGCUGUGCACUGGAAGUUGUGAUGCUGAUAAAUGACUUUACUCUCUGCUACUAUGCUAUUAUCUCCUGUUCACCGAGCAACUGAAUUAUUUUUUAAGCUUUUACCUUCUCCUUCCUAAGGACAACAUAGUUAGCUUUAGUAGUACAGCUCAGAUGUUAUGAGUUGAGGUGGUUCUUGAUCAUCUUUUAUUAAAAUCAUCUAUUUGUAAUUAAAUGAAUUUAUGGGCAGAUACUCAGGCUGCUUGUAGAGGAGUUGAUGGUAAUGCUCUAUCAUAAUGUAUUUUCUAGAAUUUUUAGCAGAUUAAUUUAAAAUUAAUGUAAAUGCAGCUUACCUAUUCUUGAGUUGUUAAGGUAAACCUGUCAGUAUAUCAUCUGUCAGUGGUUUCUGGCAGUCUUUUUUUUUUUUUUUUUAACAUUUGCUUCAUUAUUAAUUAAAUUAAGAAUGAAUAUAGCCAUUGUAGUCUAAUUUCAAAACCUGUUUUUAUUGAGAGGUUUAUUUAUGUCUCUCUCUACUGAAUUUUUUUUUUUUUGUAGCAUUGCAUAAAAAUUUUACAGUCCAAGGUCUUGAGAUGAGAUGUGGACAGAGCCACAGUGUCCUUCAGCAGCUGCUGUUGGUAUUUCCCAAAGUGAUGCUUGGAAGUGCAAAAGUAAUCAAGAUACAUGAUGCAUAAAAGCCCUGGUCAGUUAUCAUGUACGUGAUGGUCCCAGCUUGAUGUUUCAGGGGUAGAAACACUUUAUUUUUUUAAAGUCGCCUAGAGAGUUUCACAUUUUAGUCCAAUGUCAGGUACUUGAAACAGUCAAGUUAAAUGUGUACCCAUUACAGACCUGGUCUUGCAGGUGGAAUAAAUGUCCAAGUACACCCGAAGAAUAUUCUGCAUUGACUAUGCGUGCCAUAUCUUGAAGCCGAAUCUGCUCACAGACACUGUGAAUGCGAGCAGCAUGCACACACCCCUAGCUCCUGUACCAGCGAUUUCCGACGUGCCACUGUUCCCGCUGGAAGCGCUCCGUCCUACCUGCAGCUGCGCUUAACUCGGGCUGACAGUGAUGCUGCUGUGCAGGGCUCUGCUCCGUGUCAAGGCCUUGGGGAGGAGAAAAGGUCGGAGCUGAAGGCAUACGGAGAGGAGCGCUUGGAUGUGGCAGCUGGCAUCUGAGUGAUGUGAGCAGCAGUUGUUUCCUGCAGGAAGACAGUGAUGUUUGCAGAAAUAUAAUGCGUGUUGAUGGAUGCGUUGUUAUUCCUGCAGGAGCAGUAUUUUUACCUGUGGCUUUCAGGAAUUUGCUGGAGUUGCAGUUAGUGCCAUGUGGUAGGUUGGCAGCAGGGGGGAGAUGCGCUGAGGGGGCUGACAAGAAGCAAAUGUCAAGUUGCUGUUCUUGAACAAGGACCAGAUGAGAAGUCAAAUCGUCUGCCCAUCUUGGAGGGAGAUGUCUCUCUCAACUCUUUGAUGCUGAAAGAUGGGCAACUUAUUUUGGUCAAAACUUGACUCCCUAGAGGAGGAGGAUUUUUGGUCUCUGGAGAUCAACAGGAGCAGAAAUUUUGCAGACCAAGUUCACUUAGCUGCUAUGGUAAGAAUAGCAUGAAGUAAGUGUUAAGGCUCAGUAUUGAUAGGCACUGAUGCUUUAUUACAGGGAUGAAGAAACAGGCAAAAGCUCUGUGCAGCAGUCGUGAUCAGUUCUAUAUAACAGCUUGUGCCACUGUCCAUCAUCCCCAUUUCAAUUUGAGUACCCUAGUGAAAUCUAGACUGAUGUAUUUGUGAUUAAGGCUACAAAAAAAUCGUAUCUAAAAUUUGAUGACACAGAAGAAACGCUUUACUUGAUAGCCGGACUCCUAAAUAUAUUGGAAUCUCAUCACUCCGACAUGAAAACACUUCCUAUUUAUAUUGCCUUUUAAGUUUUGAUGCAUCAUCCGAAAAUGUUUGUGUGUAUUUUCGGCUCUUGUGAUUUAUUGAGGGCUCUGUGGUGAGGUGAAGUGAGGCAGACAGCAUCAGUCAUGACCUCCAGUGCCCAUGGGCCUGGUAGCCGAGGUGUUUCCAGCCCAUCCAGCGAGCACGUGCUCCUUCACAGCUCUCUGCUGCUUGUGGAGAGGGGAGCAUCACCUCCAAGCCAGCUGAGGUAGCACUGAUCACAGGCAGCUAGCUCUGGGUGUAUGAACUCAAUAAGAGGGCCAGCUCUGGAAGCGAGGAGGGAUGCUGUCAGCCUGGGAGCCGUCCUUCUCUGCACGUGUGCGAAGUCCUUCAGAAACGGGAGGAAGCUGCUCCCCGCACAAUGUAAAGGGAGCUCUGGUGCUCAUGGGAUUUUGUGCAGUGCUCGAACUCGAGAGCUGGUGGGUCCUGUGGGAUGCAGUCAUUCAGCAAGAAAAACUCCAGGCGGUUGAAGUCUUGAAAGGCUUUAGCUAGUCAGCGUUUGCACUGCAGGCAUUACAAGUAGGUUUCAUUCUUCUGCCGCAGCUGAAGUUAAAAGUGAGCAUAAACUAGAAAUACUGUGACCUGUUUGGGGUUUUCCAUCUACUGGGUGUUCAAAAUGAUUAUUUUGAGAGAGGGAUGGUAUUUUAUACAGGUGUCUGGCACUUAAGGAUUGUCCUUCUCAGAAGAACAUUUAAUGUUACUGCUGUAUCCUUACACUGCUUUCUGUAGAUUUGGGUGUUGAGAUAAAAAUGAAGUGUUGGAGUCAUGUUUACAGUCAAGAGUAAUAAUAAAAAGAACAGCCAAAAUCCGUCUAUUUUUU